CCACAAUGGCAGGAGACACCAUGAGAUGUUUUCUACUGUAGAAACUUUCUCAUUAGAAAUAGCCCAUUUAUACAGGGGACUGGCUAAUGUUUUUCUAUGAGUAUCAUUAGCCAGUGUCUCAAAGUGGUGAAGAGACUGCAACCUGGAACAAGGAGAGACAAAGGGAAGGAGGAGUCUGGAGCCAUAUUGAAGAUGAAAUUGAGAUAUGGACUAGGUGGUGGAUCGUUUUUAUAAGAGGACAUAAAAGAGGAUGCUAAAGCUAAUUGCCACAAUCAGAACUCAAAGACCUAGCAAAUGCAAGACACUGGCCACCUCCCUGAACCUGGGCCAAGAUGAGGGUCUACACCUUGGCUUAGUUCUACUAUGAAAGACUUUCCUGCAGUAAAAGUUACCUGUCUGAAACAUUCAGAAGAGUGAAAAUGCCACAUCUCCAAUUUCCAGCAAUAUAUUUGUCUGCCAUGAUUUGGCCUGGAAGCUUAAGCAGGAAGACCACUUGGAGCCAGACUUCAGAGUGAUCUGUCUCUAAGGAAUAACUUUCAUAUUGCAGCGUUCGGUUUUGCAAUUCUUCCUAAGCUACUCUAAAUUCGCAGCAUAAAUCUGCAGAAAGACUUCACCCUCCACAUCAAACCCUUAUAAGGAUCCAUUUCUGCUCUCAUUUUAGAAUAUCUUUUCUAAUAGCUAAAGGCAGACAGAGGCAAACCAAGAAAUCCAGACUUUGCAUCAACGGGUUAAAUCAUAUGUCAAAGGUGCAACCAUAACGUAUUACAAGCUUCUCAUCACAUAAUACAUCACUCAAGAAAAAAUAUUUGGGCAGCUUUUCUAAUUCAUCUUCCUGGUGUUAAAGGAGCACAUCUCCAGUGUUCGUGUCUUCUGUUUCAAUUAAAGCAAUCAUGCCUACUCUUUUAGGAAA
Molecule: long non-coding RNA, 910 nt
Filed under: Homo sapiens (human)
Lineage: Eukaryota; Metazoa; Chordata; Mammalia; Primates; Hominidae
Description: HSALNT0307413
Source: RNAcentral